This is a long non-coding RNA of Drosophila pseudoobscura, 1372 nucleotides long. RefSeq lists it as uncharacterized. The record is from RefSeq and is a predicted model, not a curated record. The transcript is spliced from 2 exons. NCBI's taxonomy places the organism in Eukaryota, Metazoa, Arthropoda, Insecta, Diptera, Drosophilidae.
AUUGUAUACGCAUGUCUGUAAGUAUAUUUGAAGUAUUUCAAUUCUGCUUUGGAAAUCCACCACCUUUGGGCGCAACUUCCAUAGAAACGUUAGUAUGUUUGAGUUGGAGCGUACAAGACCAUGAAAUGUGGAUGAUGUUGACGUGUUUCCGACUGUUUAACACAUUCCAAAACCCUUCAACACACCCUCAUGCCCCCAAAACGUGCACACACAUACCAGUGGGAAACUGAAGAAAAAAAGCUUACGAAUCUAGAACUGAGGAAAUAUAUAUUUUUAUCGAUUUUGAUUACGAAUUUCAAAACGAAUAAUGGCCCGAAAAAUACGACCAUGCAACCGACACAGUCGCACCACACACAUACCAAAUAACAAUCAAGAAGUCGCUCAAUAAUAGAACUGAACUGAACUCUUUCUUGAGAUAGUGUUUUCGUAAAUAUGAUACGGUUAAUGAAUAAGUAAUAUACAUUCAAAAGAAAUUAAGUGUAAGCGCACACAGCUGCUUCUUUUUUUGCCGAUGCGUAAUCGCAAUCGCACAAAAUUCAAAGAAAUGGCGCACAAGAAAUACGAAAUUAUGAGAACCAGCACAAAAGAAUAUCCCAAAUUAUGUACGAGAAGAAGAGCUUAUUCCUGUCGGUGCCAGCGAGGGGGAAGGAGGGAUAAUGGCAGGGGCAAUAUUCGAAAAAAAUCCCAAAAGUUUUUGCGUCAUUUUCCAGCUUUUGGCAUUUCUUGCGAAUAUAACGCGCGGCUUGAGAUUGAUUUGCAAAUGGUACAGUGGUCACGGGGUCAUGGAAAACAAAACGGGUUGUCAGACCUAUUGGACUGUGGGUCCUGUUGGGCACAUCUGGUUUGAAACCACGACUGUAUUGGAUUUAUUCGAUGCGGGGCAGCAUUCACUCACAACUUAUACUGGACCCAGAGCGGAGAGACACUUGCAGAGUACGGGAGCGGGCACUGCACAGGUAGAUAUGUCACUCUACGAACGGAAAUUCGUCACCUUGCAUCGACAUACCUUGAACCAGCGCAGAAACGAGAACAAGCUGCGCUCACGAACACGAAAAAACACACACACACACACACACGAAGACACGGUCGCGAGCGAGCACAAAUUUACGCUUAUUAUGUGUGUGCUGAGAAGUUUUUCAAGAAAAAGAACAACUGAAUUAAAUUUCCCAAUUACAUCCAUAUUGAAAUUGAAUAAAAGCCAAUUGACAACUGACAUGGCAGCCCCUUCAGUGUGCUCCAGAGCAUUUGCUCGCCUCUAAAACUGACUUUCGUGAUUUUUAAUAGUUUUAAAACAAUUUUCAAGAUUCAACUAUUAUUCAGCAAAUGACUAGCCAGGCACACACACACUUGCACUUACUUACCAGCGCGAGAG